GCCGCAUUCAGCCGAGAAGGCACGUAACAAUUAAUAAUCUAACCCAUUGAUAUUUAUGUAAAAUUUAACUGACUUGUAAUCAGUAGGUCCCGGGUUCGACUCCUGGUGCCGGCACCA
This 117-nucleotide transfer RNA is filed under the name Pseudomonas lurida. Its description in RNAcentral is "tRNA-Ser". Lineage: Bacteria; Pseudomonadati; Pseudomonadota; Gammaproteobacteria; Pseudomonadales; Pseudomonadaceae. The record is from RNAcentral.